UGCGGCGGGCUACAUGCAAGUCGAGCGGAUGACAUUAAAGAUCUGUCGCUCUUAUGAAGCUAGCGGCGGACGGGUGAUGACCACGUGGGUAACCGGCCCAUAAGACUGGGAUAACUCCGGGAAACCGGGGCUAAUACCGGAUAUAAUUUUGAACCGCGGGGAUCUAAAUUGAAAGGCGGCUUCGAUUGUCCUUUAUGGAUGGACCCGCGUCGCAUUGUAUAGGCUCUGAGGUAACGGCUCCCUAGGCGACGAUGCGUGACGAACCUGACACUGGAACUGACACAGGGUGGACUGACAUACGCCCAGACUCCUACGGGAGGCUUGAAUAGGGAAUCUUCCCCUGUGGACGAAAUUCUGACGGAGCAACGCCGGGUGAGUGAUGUAGGCUUUCUGGUCGUAAAAAUCAGUUGUUAUGGAAGAACACCUGGUUGUUUAAUAAGUUGCCGACCUUGACGGUACCUAACAAAAAAGCCCCGGCUAACUACGUGCCACCAACGGUGGAAAUACUAAGGGGAAAUGCGUUAUCCGAAAUUAUUGGGCGUAGAUCGCGCGCAGGUGUGUUCUUACCCCUGAUGUGACCCCCCACGGGUCAUCCGGGGAGGGGGAUUGGAAUCUGGGAGAUUUGGUGCAAAACACGAUGGUGCAAUUACAUGUGUAGCGGUGAAAUGCGAAACAUUUGGAGGAACACC
RNAcentral lists this ribosomal RNA (689 nucleotides) under Bacillus thuringiensis. RNAcentral's name for it is "bacterial SSU rRNA". It matches the Rfam family "Bacterial small subunit ribosomal RNA", at positions 38 to 710 of the family's 1533-position model. Lineage: Bacteria; Bacillati; Bacillota; Bacilli; Caryophanales; Bacillaceae. The record is from RNAcentral.